This 510-nucleotide ribosomal RNA is filed under the name uncultured Parachlamydia sp. Its description in RNAcentral is "bacterial SSU rRNA". It matches the Rfam family "Bacterial small subunit ribosomal RNA", at positions 541 to 1050 of the family's 1533-position model. Lineage: Bacteria; Pseudomonadati; Chlamydiota; Chlamydiia; Parachlamydiales; Parachlamydiaceae. The record is from RNAcentral.
UUAAUCGGAUUCAUUGGGCGUAAAGAGCGCGUAGGCGGAGAUUUAAGUCAGGCGUGAAAUCCCGAAGCUCAACUUCGGAACAGCGCUUGAAACUAAAUCCCUUGAGGGUAGGCGGAGAAAGUGGAAUUCCACAUGUAGCGGUGAAAUGCGUAGAUAUGUGGAAGAACACCAGUGGCGAAGGCGACUUUCUAGCUUACUCCUGACGCUGAGGCGCGAAAGCAAGGGGAGCGAACAGGAUUAGAUACCCUGGUAGUCCUUGCCGUAAACGAUGCAUACUUGGUGUAGCCGGACUUAACCCCGGUUGUGCCGGAGCUAACGUGUUAAGUAUGCCGCCUGGGAAGUACGCUCGCAAGGGUGAAACUCAAAAGAAUUGACGGGGACCCGCACAAGCAGUGGAGCAUGUGGUUUAAUUCGAUGCAACGCGAAGAACCUUACCCAGACUUGACAUGUAGUGGACCGCACCAGAAAUGGUGCUUUCCUUCGGGACCGCUACACAGGUGCUGCAUGGCU